Non-coding RNA from Phrynosoma platyrhinos (Desert horned lizard), 72 nucleotides. NCBI's taxonomy places the organism in Eukaryota, Metazoa, Chordata, Lepidosauria, Squamata, Phrynosomatidae. The record is from the annotation of a GenBank genome assembly.
GCCAGUGUAGUGUAGUGGUUUGAGUUCUGGACUAUGACUCUGGAGACAAGGGUUUGAAUACCUGCUCGGCCA